GACGAACGCUGGCGGCGUGCUUAACACAUGCAAGUCGCACGGAAAGGCCCUGCUUUUGUGGGGUGCUCGAGUGGCGAACGGGUGAGUAACACGUGAGUAACCUGCCCUUGACUUUGGGAUAACUUCAGGAAACUGGGGCUAAUACCGGAUAGGAGCUCCUGCUGCAUGGUGGGGGUUGGAAAGUUUCGGCGGUUGGGGAUGGACUCGCGGCUUAUCAGCUUGUUGGUGGGGUAGUGGCUUACCAAGGCUUUGACGGGUAGCCGGCCUGAGAGGGUGACCGGCAACAUUGGGACUGAGGUACGGCCCAGACUCCUACGGGAGGCAGCAGUGGGGAAUAUUGCACAAUGGGCGGAAGCCUGAUGCAGCAACGCCGCGUGCGGGAUGACGGCCUUCGGGUUGUAAACCGCUUUCGCCUGUGACGAAGCGUGAGUGACGGUAAUGGGUAAAGAAGCACCGGCUAACUACGUG
This 468-nucleotide ribosomal RNA is filed under the name uncultured bacterium. RNAcentral describes it as "partial 16S ribosomal RNA". It matches the Rfam family "Bacterial small subunit ribosomal RNA", at positions 28 to 507 of the family's 1533-position model. The record is from RNAcentral.